GGAAGGGUGCGGCGAAUGGUAAGCCACGGGUUUGCUAAACCCGCGUCAGAAAUGGCAUGAGGGUUCGACUCCCUCCCCUUCCGCCA
This 86-nucleotide transfer RNA is filed under the name Candidatus Shapirobacteria bacterium CG_4_9_14_3_um_filter_36_12. RNAcentral's name for it is "tRNA-Ser". It matches the Rfam family "tRNA". From Rfam's summary of the family: Transfer RNA (tRNA) molecules are approximately 80 nucleotides in length. Their secondary structure includes four short double-helical elements and three loops (D, anti-codon, and T loops). Further hydrogen bonds mediate the characteristic L-shaped molecular structure. tRNAs have two regions of fundamental functional importance: the anti-codon, which is responsible for specific mRNA codon recognition, and the 3' end, to which the tRNAs corresponding amino acid is attached (by aminoacyl-tRNA synthetases). tRNAs cope with the degeneracy of the genetic code in two manners: having more than one tRNA (with a specific anti-codon) for a particular amino acid; and 'wobble' base-pairing, i.e. permitting non-standard base-pairing at the 3rd anti-codon position. The record is from RNAcentral. RNAcentral also lists the same sequence under 1 other name. Lineage: Bacteria; Candidatus Shapironibacteriota.